GACGAACGCUGGCGGCGUGCCUAAUACAUGCAAGUCGAGCGGACUGAUUAAGAGCUUGCUCUUAUGACGUUAGCGGCGGACGGGUGAGUAACACGUGGGCAACCUGCCCUGUAGAUCGGGAUAACACCGAGAAAUCGGUGCUAAUACCGGGUAAUAUCUGAGAUCACAUGAUCUUAGGUUAAAAGAUGGCUCCGGCUAUCACUACAGGAUGGGCCCGCGGCGCAUUAGCUAGUUGGUAAGGUAAUGGCUUACCAAGGCGACGAUGCGUAGCCGACCUGAGAGGGUGAUCGGCCACACUGGGACUGAGACACGGCCCAGACUCCUACGGGAGGCAGCAGUAGGGAAUCUUCCGCAAUGGACGAAAGUCUGACAGAGCAACGCCGCGUGAGUGAUGAAGGGGUUCGGCUCGUAAAGCUCUGUUGUUAGGGAAGAAACAGUACCGAACGAACUAGGUCGGUACCUUGACGGUACCUAACCAGAAAGCCACGGCUAACUACGUG
This 500-nucleotide ribosomal RNA is filed under the name uncultured bacterium. Its description in RNAcentral is "partial 16S ribosomal RNA". It matches the Rfam family "Bacterial small subunit ribosomal RNA", at positions 28 to 507 of the family's 1533-position model. The record is from RNAcentral.